This 228-nucleotide ribosomal RNA is filed under the name uncultured bacterium. Its description in RNAcentral is "partial 16S ribosomal RNA". It matches the Rfam family "Bacterial small subunit ribosomal RNA", at positions 568 to 795 of the family's 1533-position model. The record is from RNAcentral.
CGUGUAGGCGGGUCUUCAAGUCGGUUGUGAAAUCUGGUGGCUUAACUGCCAGCCUGCAUCCGAAACUGUAGAUCUUGAGUACGGGAGAGGAGAGCGGAAUUCCAGGUGUAGCGGUGAAAUGCGUAGAUAUCUGGAAGAACACCCGUAGCGAAGGCGGCUCUCUGGCCCGAUACUGACGCUAAAGCGCGAAGGCUUGGGUAGCAAACAGGAUUAGAUACCCUGGUAGUC